AGGACGAACGCUGGCGGCGUGCUUAACACAUGCAAGUGGAGCGACGAACCGGGGCUUGCCCCGGGGCAGAGCCGCGAACGGGUGAGUAACACGUGGGUUACCUGCCUUGAUGACCGGGACAACCCGAGGAAACUCGGGCUAAUACCGGAUGUGCCCGCAAGGGGAAAGGAAGCUUCGGCCUCCGCAUCAAGAUGGGCCCGCGGCCCAUUAGCUUGUUGGUGAGGUAACGGCUCACCAAGGCAUCGAUGGGUAGCUGGUCUGAGAGGACGAUCAGCCACACUGGGACUGAGACACGGCCCAGACUCCUACGGGAGGCAGCAGUGGGGAAUCUUGCGCAAUGCGCGAAAGCGUGACGCAGCAACGCCGCGUGGGGGAAGAAGGCUUUCGGGUUGUAAACCCCUUUCAGUUGGGACGAAGCUUCUCCGGUGAAUAGCCGGACGGAGUGACGGUACCUUCACAAGAAGCACCGGCUAACUACGUGCCAGCAGCCGCGGU
RNAcentral lists this ribosomal RNA (495 nucleotides) under uncultured bacterium. Its description in RNAcentral is "SSU rRNA". It matches the Rfam family "Bacterial small subunit ribosomal RNA", at positions 26 to 521 of the family's 1533-position model. The record is from RNAcentral.